RNAcentral lists this transfer RNA (71 nucleotides) under Candidatus Dadabacteria bacterium. Its description in RNAcentral is "tRNA-Gln". It matches the Rfam family "tRNA". From Rfam's summary of the family: Transfer RNA (tRNA) molecules are approximately 80 nucleotides in length. Their secondary structure includes four short double-helical elements and three loops (D, anti-codon, and T loops). Further hydrogen bonds mediate the characteristic L-shaped molecular structure. tRNAs have two regions of fundamental functional importance: the anti-codon, which is responsible for specific mRNA codon recognition, and the 3' end, to which the tRNAs corresponding amino acid is attached (by aminoacyl-tRNA synthetases). tRNAs cope with the degeneracy of the genetic code in two manners: having more than one tRNA (with a specific anti-codon) for a particular amino acid; and 'wobble' base-pairing, i.e. permitting non-standard base-pairing at the 3rd anti-codon position. Lineage: Bacteria; Pseudomonadati; Thermodesulfobacteriota; Candidatus Dadabacteria. The record is from RNAcentral. RNAcentral also lists the same sequence under 1 other name.
UGCCUUCUGGUCUAAUGGUAAGACACAACGCUCUGAACGUUGAAAUUGGGGUUCGAUUCCCUGGAAGGCAG